RNAcentral lists this small RNA (76 nucleotides) under Clostridium sp. AM58-1XD. Its description in RNAcentral is "COG2827 RNA". It matches the Rfam family "COG2827 RNA". From Rfam's summary of the family: Clostridiales. Nearby to self-splicing intron genes RNAcentral also lists the same sequence under 1 other name. The record is from Rfam by way of RNAcentral. Lineage: Bacteria; Bacillati; Bacillota; Clostridia; Eubacteriales; Clostridiaceae.
GCUGGUGCUUCAUAUAGAUGACAGGGAAUCCUGGGCGGUAGUGGCGUGAUUGCAAGACGUUAUUACCGUUUACAUA